GUUCUGUCUUAGGUUGCUGGGAUGCUAAAGGUGAAAUGCAUGCUUUCAACAGCCGAUGGGAAUCCAAUUGUAUGCGCUGUUCAUGUAAUCCAAGAGUUGGACUAAUUUGCUGCAGCAUGGUGUUAAGGCCUAAGGAAUAUGACAGUGUCACUUGCAAGGAAAUUUUCAACAAGCAGUCCUGUACAAUAAGCGUUGUACAGAAAGCCAAUCCCACUGUAGCCUGUAACGUCCAACGCUUUACAGGUUAACAACUCAAUCUUCUCCUCCUGAUGUUGCUGCCAAAGUCAUUGCAUCCCAACAGAACUUGUAAAUUCUUGGAGCAAUUGCCCUUUCCUUGGAAUUCAGGGCAGCAAGGGGCUAGCAACCAUGUGGGCAUUACCUUGGAUCUGCAUUCUGUUGAAAGCAUUGUCAAAUCUUAGGCAAACUGAUUCAAACCACAAAGUGCUGAUCUCUAUGGCAUCUGAGAUCCUCUAGACAUUUAGGUUGUGCCCAUACCUCCUGGAACCUGAUGUCUGAUGGAUGCCCAAAGAAAAUACAUUGUCCUGUAGCAUGAAAUGAAUCUGUCCUUUUCCUUUUAAAGAAUCAAUGUCCAAAUUAAGUAUAGAAGAUCUUUGUGGUCCUUGGGGAAAUUCCUGGAAUGUACACUUUGGGACUGAAACACUAUAUGCUUUUUUUGCUUCUACUCACCUCCCAAAUCUGUCUGAGAAUCCUUGGAUUUCAAUCCUGGAAGAACCAACGUUAUAAAUAACCCAAGGAAUAAUGUAAAGAUACCUGAAAGGGGCAAGAUGGCAUAUUUACCAGUGAUGAUGACUUUCAGUUGAGUAGUAUCAUGAAAUACAAUAAGCAUAUACAUGGUGGAGAGAACAGGGAGAUUGCUCAGUUAUAAAGUGAGAAUGAGAGAUAACAGAUGGGCAGCCUAAGCAUUUCAUUGGUAUCCUUGAAAUGAUAACUGAAUGGGAGUGUACUGUACCUCUCACUUUAAGCCUAGGACAGCCCUGCAGCUG
RNAcentral lists this long non-coding RNA (1004 nucleotides) under Phascolarctos cinereus (koala). RNAcentral describes it as "lncRNA (ENSPCIG00000008510.2)". Lineage: Eukaryota; Metazoa; Chordata; Mammalia; Diprotodontia; Phascolarctidae. The record is from RNAcentral.